RNAcentral lists this long non-coding RNA (5053 nucleotides) under Arabidopsis lyrata. Its description in RNAcentral is "long non-coding RNA (ALYR_LNC001149)". Lineage: Eukaryota; Viridiplantae; Streptophyta; Magnoliopsida; Brassicales; Brassicaceae. The record is from RNAcentral.
UUGAAUAUUAAGUAACCUUUAAUUUGUAGAAUAUUACAAAGAAUGCUAUUGGUAAUUUUUAAAUCAAAGAGUAAAUUAAAAAAAUUGGAUAAGGUUAAAGUGGACAAAUUGAUCGGAUACAUAACGUGGAUCUUGGGUUUGUUUUCGGAUAAAACGCGGACCCUAUCCAGCGUUAUACGGUCUGGGACGCGGAUCCUCGAUUUGACCCGUUUGGGUAACAAAUCAUUAAGAUUUUACUCCGAUAAUAUUCUCUUGUGCUGUUACACAAAAUAAUUUCGAAAAUCAUUAAGACAGUUGCCAAAACAAUCAACAGAAAAUCAACGCAAAAUAAUUGCCAAAUUAAAUCACCAAAUAUAAGGAACAUAACCAAUUUUGUAGGAACUGUUUUCAAUAAGAUCUAAUCUCAUUUAUUAUAUUUGCCUAAUUUCAAAAGUAUAAAAUAUUAUAUUCCUAUCAAAUGAAGCAUCUACAUAUACAUUUUUACAGGGGAUUUUUGCAAAAAGUCUUUUGGAUCCGGGUUUUACCCGGGUUUAACUCUAUUCGGAUCUAGAAUAAGAAAUUUAAGGAAGUUUGUAAUAAAAACGACAUUAAUUAUUAAUUAACACCUAAAUUAGAAAUAUAUAUAAUAUAUCUAAACUAACCAUAUUUGUUAUUUACCUUAACUACUUCUAACCAUAAUUAUUUAACUAUUUAUUUCUAUAUGGAAAGAAUAUGUGAUUAAAAUAAAUAUUUUGUAAAAGAUUGAUUUGGGGAAAAAUUGUUAUUACGAAAAUAAUUUGUUUUGUUAUAAAAAUUAAUAUUUGUUAUUUGUAAUUAAAUUACAUAAAUAGUAAUAAUAAUUUGUCUACACCAUCAAAUGAAAAUAGUUAGUUAUUUAUUUUUUUAUUUAAUAUUACGUCAUUUUUAAAAAAUAAAUUCAACAAUAUAAUGUCAAUGAGUUUAAUUCUAAAGAUUUGAAAAUAUUAAAAAGAUACUAACCAAACAUUAUCUAUCCUAAUUUGUUUCUAACAAUUUCGACACAAAUCUUUCGAAAAUUUAAUGUGAUCACAGUUUGUUACUAAAAUCUCGAUUAUAUGCCUAAAAUCUCGAGAAGAUCUUCCUUUAAAUCCGCAAAUUAUAAUUUUUGAAUUAAAUAAACUAACAAUACGAAUAUUCCUAAUAUAUUCGAGUACUAAUAAUCCUUAUUAUAGUAUAUUCCUUAUCUAAAUACUAAAUCUUUUAUUUUUAAUUCUAAUCAAAAUUUAUGAAAUCGGAAAUCAAUUAUGAUUUCUUAAACAUCCUUAAAUUUCGAAAUAAUCAACAAUUCGAAUAUGCUGAAAAAUCAUAACGAAAUAUCUUUAUUUACUUAAAUGUUUUAGUAAUCGUUAUAGCAAAAAAAUCAAUUCCAGCGCUAUUGGUUCUUUAAACUUUUUGAUUUACAUAGAUAUUUUGUAUUCCAUAAUUAACUCAUUAAAUUCUUUGAUUUAAAUAACUACAAUGUGAAAAUUAGUAUAUGUAAUAAAUAUAACAUAUAAUAUUUACGAGAUUUUCAUAUACUUGAUCCCCAACCCAAAUUGACGAAUAUAUUAUUUCUCAUAAAAUAUCUUUAAAAGAUUUUUUUUUGUUUCGUUUAGAUAUUAUUCAACAAACUUCCUAAAACAAAUGGAAAUAUCUUUAAUUAGCUUUCCUCAUUCAUAAAUCCCACCAUGCAUAUAGACGUUAUUCAGUUGAUAAUACAAAAUUGAAUAUAUUAGGAAUCAAAUAUUUAAUUUUCCAAUAUUUGCAAAAUUGUUUUAAUUUUUAGAUCAAACCUAAACUUCUCGAGUACUUUUUAUUCAUCUAUAUAAAAAAGAUAUUUUCAACCAUUGAUCCACAAUACUAAACGUUUUCGUAAUAGAGAUUUAUAUGGCUUCUUUUAAACAAUGUUCUUAGUACAUUUUAUAUUUCACGUUUGUUUUCUUUUAAAAAAUUAAUUGUCACCUACUUUUCUUAUGUUGCAGCUUUCGAUUUUAAGAUCUUUGGAAAUUAUGGACAUCAUCAACUCCGUCUCCAAAGAAACUAUCAAAUAAGGUAUGCAUUAAAAGGUUAGUUAGUCCUUCUUCUUAUCUUCAGAUACGAAUUUUUUUUAAUGUCCAGUAUUUUUUUACAUUUUCAUAAUUUCAUGUUUCUUCAUAAUGUUUGUAAAUGAUUUUUUUUUAUAGGCUAACAUAACAAGUCCAUUCUAUUAAAAUCUUUUUCUUUAACGUAAAAAGGAAAUGAAUUUGUUAAUAAAAUAAAGUUCUUAUUCUUAAUUUUCAUUAUUCUAAUGUUAUGUAUUUUAAUUGUUUUUAUGAUAUAUACUUUUACUAAAACCUGUGGAUCCGAGUUUUGGUUGGUAAGUGUAAUUUUUCUAAUCUUUUAAAACCUUUUACAACAAUUACAUGUUUUAUAUGGUUAACAAUCACAUCAUAUAUAUUUUAUUUUCUUAUCCAAUGUAUUUCAUGUUUAAUGUUUUCUAAUAUUUUUUAUUGAAACUUUUAAAUAGUUUCAAAAUAUUAUAAACAUUUAAACUUUAUUAAAAGUAAAAUAUUAUAAUUAUUUAAACAUUUAAAAAAGUUUAUUUUUAUAAAACGUUUUAAAUAUUUAUAAUAUUAUGAAUUUUAUAAAGUUUCAAAUAUUAAAUAGUUGAAUUUUAUAAUAAUUUAUAAGAAAUUUAAACAUUAUAAAUAUUUACAAAAGAUAAUAAUCGGGACGGUAUAUUACGGGUGAAAUCCUAGAUAUAACAAUCAAAAUACUAUUAUGAAUUUUGGGUCGAUAUUAAAUGAAGUUUCGAAUAUUAGAAAUAUUUGAAUUUUAUUGGAAAAUGACAAAAUGAUGUAGAUUUCACGGGACAGAGUUAUAUGGUCGGACGGAUUUGGGGUGGAUAUUAAUACAGUAUGAUAUACUACAGGUGAAAUCCUAUAAUUAACAAUCAAAAUAUAACAAUACAAUCUUAAACACUAAACAAAACUAAACAAAUAAUAUUAACAAAACAAAUAAAACUUCAAAUUUUAAAUCUUUAGUUAUAAAAUAUCGUGUGUACCAUACAUUUAAAUCAAACAAAACAAUAGCAUAUAUCUAUAGAUCAUCUUAAAAAAAAAUUAAUUUUAUUAUUAUUUAAUAAAAUUAUAGACCCGCGGUGUACCGCGGGUUAAUAUCUAGUAUUCUAUUAAUGAUUCUAUUAAAUACGGUUACGCAAAUAUAUUUUCAUAUUUACAAAAGUAAACCCUAAAAAUGAGAGUUGUAUCUGUAAUAGUAUAUAUAGUAAACUCGAUAAUCAACUUUCAUAACACAAUCCUUCAAAUCUUAACUUCAUUAAUUUCUUCUUUUUUUUGGUCAAAAAAAUGGCUGCAAAUCUUCCUAUCACGGAACUUGCUAACGUGAAACCUUUUCAAAACAAUCGUUCACUCAUAGACUCAACACACUCAAUUCACACGAGAGACAAUGAAAAUGAUUCUUGCUACUGUUUCUGUAAGUAUUUUUAACUUUCUAACUUCAAACCUUUCAUAUUUAAAAAGGAUUAUUGUUUUGCUUACUACAAUUGUGAAUUUUGUAGGCUACUUUGAUUCAUGCUACUAUAAAUAAACAACAGAUGAACAAGCUGCAAAGGUUUAUCAACUCUGGAGAGUGGAGAUUUAUUAAAAAUUUACUCUCUCAAAAUCUAUGGGAAAGUACAGAGCUACCAAACAUGGUUGCAAAAUGUCCCUCAUGAACACUACUAUUAUCACUCGGUGUUCUUCUCUUUCAGAUGAUGUUUUCUUCGAUUUGCAAACUAUCAAGAUAUUUUGAAUGAAUCACGAUUGAAUGCGAAUAUCUUUAUAGGUUUUUUUAUGUUUAGUUAUAGCUUUAUCUUGCAUAUAAUUUUUUUUCCUUAUAUCUUUAUCUUGCAGGAUCUUCAUCGUUGUUAUGAUAUACUACUUUUGAUUAAACAUACAAAGACUAAUAUGAAUAAACAACAGUAUAAAAGUCACAUGAGGCACUAACCUUUUACAUAUAUAUUUCUGGAUAUCUCCAAUGAGGCAAUGACUAUAUAACUCUUCCCUUCUCCAUAUUUUUAUGUUAAUAGAAUCGAAUGCUUCACAUUAGAACAUUGAAUAUUGUUAUUAACAUGUUAAACUUUUUAAAGUAACUCAAUAACAGUAAGUAAAGCUGCAAAUCUGAGAAACAAAAGCGUAAGAAUUGAGAUUUCACCAACCUUUUACAUAUAUAUUUUCUUAUAGCUACACUGACAAAAUCAUAGAGCUUCUCCCAUAGUCUCAUUGUCUGUAUCGCAAAUCAUCCUUCACAUUAAAUCGUUAAUACACAGGCAAGGAUGAUUUUGUUUUAAAAUACAAGAUCAAAACAAUGUGCCAUAUAUAAAGUAACGUAUCUUAAGCUCAAUAAAACCAGGGAACUCUGCAAACAUAAUCAACAAAAUUUUAAAAAUUAAGAAUCUUACUAACCUUUGACACAUAUAUUUAUGAAUAGCUAUAAUGACAAUAUCCCAUUGUCUCCUCCAUUGUCUGAAAUUACUUGCUAAUCAUCCUUCACUAGAAUACACAACCAAAAAAAAUUAAAAAUUCAAAACACAGUAUACACAAAAUAUACUCAAUUUAUUGCUUUCAAACUAUAAAAAGCUACGGAUACUCGAGAUUAACUGUAUACAGAGCUACUCUAUACAACAAUUCAAAACCACUGUAAAUCAAAUUCGUAUACAAACCUUAAAAAAAAUCUAUCAAAAACUAAUUUUAAAUCAGCCUUAAGAGAUCCGGCUUCUUGUAAAUCCUUGGCGAUUCUAUACUAUUAAAACAAAAAAUUUCAAAGAUUGGAAAUUGAAUCUGACAUAUACAAAAGCUGUACAAGUAUAAAUUUGAUUUAAUAAAUAGAUUACCUCUUCGUAGAAUUCACGAAUUGAAACCCACCAGAGGUAUAAUAGGAGACGAUGAUGUUCCUAUGAGAUUAUCGUAUUUGAUUCUGGAGAUCGAUCGAUGGUCUUCGUUAUUUUCACUAAAAUUCCUUUUCUCUUUUUUUGGUAAUAAGACAACAAAUUGUUCACAGCAAAUAUCUGUCCAAAUAC